CGAACGGGUGAGUAACACGUGGGCAACCUGCCCCUGGCUCUGGGAUAACUCCAAGAAAUUGGGGCUAAUACCGGAUAUGACCGCUGACCGCAUGGUCUGGUGGUGGAAAGAUUUAUCGGCUGGGGAUGGGCCCGCGGCCUAUCAGCUUGUUGGUGGGGUAGUGGCCUACCAAGGCGACGACGGGUAGCCGGCCUGAGAGGGUGACCGGCCACACUGGGACUGAGACACGGCCCAGACUCCUACGGGAGGCAGCAGUGGGGAAUAUUGCGCAAUGGGCGAAAGCCUGACGCAGCGACGCCGCGUGGGGGAUGACGGCCUUCGGGUUGUAAACCUCUUUCAGCAGGGACGAAGCGACAGUGACGGUACCUGCAGAAGAAGCACCGGCCAACUACGUGCCAGCAGCCGCGGUAAUACGUAGGGUGCAAGCGUUGUCCGGAAUUAUUGGGCGUAAAGAGCUCGUAGGCGGUUUGUUGCGUCGGCUGUGAAAUCCCGAGGCUCAACCUCGGGUCUGCAGUCGAUACGAGCAAACUAGAGUGUUGCAGGGGAGACUGGAAUUCCUGGUGUAGCGGUGAAAUGCGCAGAUAUCAGGAGGAACACCGGUGGCGAAGGCGGGUCUCUGGGCAACAACUGACGCUGAGGAG
RNAcentral lists this ribosomal RNA (641 nucleotides) under Blastococcus sp. I12A-02700. RNAcentral describes it as "bacterial SSU rRNA". It matches the Rfam family "Bacterial small subunit ribosomal RNA", at positions 99 to 753 of the family's 1533-position model. Lineage: Bacteria; Bacillati; Actinomycetota; Actinomycetes; Geodermatophilales; Geodermatophilaceae. The record is from RNAcentral.